GGGAUAGCUCAGCAGUUAAGAGCACUGGCUACCCACUCAGAGGAUCUGGGUUCAAUUCCCAGCACCCA
RNAcentral lists this transfer RNA (68 nucleotides) under Cricetulus griseus (Chinese hamster). It matches the Rfam family "tRNA". From Rfam's summary of the family: Transfer RNA (tRNA) molecules are approximately 80 nucleotides in length. Their secondary structure includes four short double-helical elements and three loops (D, anti-codon, and T loops). The record is from Rfam by way of RNAcentral. Lineage: Eukaryota; Metazoa; Chordata; Mammalia; Rodentia; Cricetidae.